Molecule: non-coding RNA, 73 nt
Organism: Rattus norvegicus (Norway rat)
Lineage: Eukaryota; Metazoa; Chordata; Mammalia; Rodentia; Muridae
Source: Rfam
GGAGAGAUGGCUCAGUGGUUAAGAGCACUGACUGUUCUUCCAGAGGUCCUGAGUUCAAUUCCCAGCAACCCCA